RNAcentral lists this ribosomal RNA (164 nucleotides) under uncultured bacterium. RNAcentral describes it as "partial 16S ribosomal RNA". It matches the Rfam family "Bacterial small subunit ribosomal RNA", at positions 355 to 511 of the family's 1533-position model. The record is from RNAcentral.
UAGGGAAUCUUCCACAAUGGGCGAAAGCCUGAUGGAGCAACGCCGCGUGUGUGAUGAAGGCUUUCGGGUCGUAAAGCACUGUUGUAUGGGAAGAACAGCUAGAAUAGGAAAUGAUUUUAGUUUGACGGUACCAUACCAGAAGGGGACGGCUAAAUACGUGUCAG